This 30-nucleotide ribosomal RNA is filed under the name Microascus trigonosporus. RNAcentral's name for it is "partial 28S ribosomal RNA". Lineage: Eukaryota; Fungi; Ascomycota; Sordariomycetes; Microascales; Microascaceae. The record is from RNAcentral.
UUGACCUCNGAUCAGGUAGGGUUACCCGCU